This 253-nucleotide ribosomal RNA is filed under the name uncultured bacterium. RNAcentral's name for it is "partial 16S ribosomal RNA". It matches the Rfam family "Bacterial small subunit ribosomal RNA", at positions 524 to 776 of the family's 1533-position model. The record is from RNAcentral.
GACAGAGGAUGCAAGCGUUAUCCGGAAUGAUUGGGCGUAAAGCGUGUGUAGGUGGCUUUUUAAGUCCGCCGUCAAAUCCCAGGGCUCAACCCUGGACAGGCGGUGGAAACUACUAAGCUGGAGUACGGUAGGGGCAGAGGGAAUUUCCGGUGGAGCGGUGAAAUGCGUAGAGAUCGGAAAGAACACCAGCGGCGAAAGCGCUCUGCUGGGCCGACACUGACACUGAGAGACGAAAGCUAGGGGAGCGAAUGGG